Molecule: ribosomal RNA, 459 nt
Filed under: uncultured bacterium
Lineage: Bacteria
Description: partial 16S ribosomal RNA
Rfam family: Bacterial small subunit ribosomal RNA
Source: RNAcentral
CCUACGGGUGGCAGCAGUGAGGAAUAUUGGUCAAUGGGCGCGAGCCUGAACCAGCCAAGUCGCGUGAGGGAAGACGGUCCUAUGGAUUGUAAACCUCUUUGGUCGGGGAGCAAAAGACUCCACGCGUGGCGUUCCGAGAGUACCCGAAGAAAAAGCAUCGGCUAACUCCGUUCCAGCAGCCGCGGUAAUACGGAGGAUGCGAGGGUUAUCCGGAUUUUUGGGGUUUAAAGGGUGCGCAGGCGGAAGAUCAAGUCAGCGGUAAAAUUGAGAGGCUCAACCUCUUCGAGCCGUUGAAACUGGUUUGCUUGAGUGAGUGAGAAGUAUGCAGAAUGCGUGGUGUAGCGGUGAAAUGCAUAGAUAUCACGCAGAACUCCGAUUGCGAAGGCAGCAUACCGGCGCUCAACUGACGCUCAUGCACGAAAGUGUGGGUAUCGAACAGGAUUAGAUACCCGAGUAGUC